Molecule: small nuclear RNA, 187 nt
Organism: Dermacentor silvarum
Lineage: Eukaryota; Metazoa; Arthropoda; Arachnida; Ixodida; Ixodidae
Product: U2 spliceosomal RNA
Exons: 1
Source: RefSeq, a predicted model, not a curated record
AUAUAUAUAUAUAUAUAUAUAUAUAUAUAUAUAUAUUAUUUUUCUUGCAACGCCGAACUUAUGUGGGUCAAUUUGGACCCAAGAUAUUAAACUGAGUCCUGGAAGUUGGCGGAGUGCUUGAAGCCUGCUGCAACGCCGCCAUGGGGCGGCCCGGUAUUGCACUAGCACCGGGAUUGGUCCUGACCAU